RNAcentral lists this long non-coding RNA (615 nucleotides) under Scleropages formosus (Asian bonytongue). Its description in RNAcentral is "lncRNA (ENSSFOG00015030691.1)". The record is from RNAcentral. Lineage: Eukaryota; Metazoa; Chordata; Actinopteri; Osteoglossiformes; Osteoglossidae.
CGAAAGGACGGCCUCGAGGAGAACGGGGGAAGCCUCGCAGCGCGCGGAGAGCUGACAUCAGCCACUUCAGAUCGAACCCUUCGAUUGUAAGUGAAACAAUUUGCAUACUGAUUCCCUUCCUCAGCCUCGAGGAUCCAUAACAGCCCGGGCAGGCAGCUAUUCGCAUACGUGGAGCAUCACUAAAUACUCGCAGGGAGCGGCCGAAAAAAGGUGCCGAGGAGCAAGGCGUCGCGAACAUCGGAUGUUUUUCCUCUGGGCGAACAUUAUCUGCUUGGAAAUGGAGGCACGAGACGAUCUUUCCGCCCCUGGAUGGGAAGAGGCAGCGGCGCGCGGACGGCGGCAACUGGAAGUGGGAGCGCGAGGACGCGCGGAGCCUCACUAGACUAGAUGAAUUGUGUUUGCUAUGUCGCAUUGACUACACUUUGAGCAGAUGCAAGUAGCAUGGCUUUAGCGCUGCUGGUGCAGACAGCUUGCGAAGCUCUGCAGAGGUCAGCGGGUGCGUCACUGGAGCGCGCGUUGACACUGUGUGGAGCCCGGAGGCGUCGCGGACUUUUCCGACUUCUUCCACUGCUUUUACUCGCAAUGGGGCUUCUUUUGCCUUUUGGUGAGCGAUGA